UACUUGCAGCUGUUUCUAAAGAGAUCAUGGAUAAACUUUAAUUAAUUAUCAAUUGUAGAAAGAAUGUAUUUAAAACAAGCUAAGUGAAACUGAAGAAGGCUUAUAAAUUCCGAGUAGAUAUUUUCAAAGGCUCAAGGUCAACUAACUCAUGUAAGGAAGAUCAAAAUCAACAGAACCAAGAAUUAUGAAUUCAGACAAAUGAAAGAUAAAGAUGACAGUGGCGCUAGAAAUGCAGCAAACUCAGAAACAAACAAAACGUAAUUAAAUACUCUAAUUAUAAAUUAUAUAAGCACUCUUGGCUAUGUUUGUUUCUACAGUCCUAAUAAUAGUUAAUAUUCUCUCAAAAGAGGGCAGUGAGCUGACAGAAUGAUUAGCAUGCCAAGCAAAAUUCUUAGUGGCAUUUUGUCUCUCUCCACAUUCUGAGUUCAAAUUCCACCAAGGUUGACUUUGACUUUCAUCCUUUCGAGGUUGAUAAAAUAUGUACCAGCUGAGCACUGGGGUUAACAUAAUCAAGUAACUCCUUCUCCAAAGCUGCUGGCCUUGUGCUGAAAUUUGAAACCAAUAUUUUCUCAAAAGACUCAAAACAAAAUUUCAUUAUUUUUUUUUAAGAAAUCUACAACAACCAGAAACAAAUAAUUAGUAGGAAAAUUCUAAAUUUCAAUGCUUUUGUUUCUUAAAAAAGGAUUAAUAUGUACAUUGUAACAAUAAACACAAUAUAACAAUACAAGAGAUUUUCAUAUGAAACACUGUUCCACGUCAUUGUUCCAAAGAUCAAAUAAAGUCAGCAGUAAAAUGUUA
Molecule: long non-coding RNA, 798 nt
Organism: Octopus bimaculoides (California two-spot octopus)
Lineage: Eukaryota; Metazoa; Mollusca; Cephalopoda; Octopoda; Octopodidae
Source: RefSeq, a predicted model, not a curated record